Molecule: ribosomal RNA, 250 nt
Filed under: uncultured prokaryote
Description: partial 16S ribosomal RNA
Rfam family: Bacterial small subunit ribosomal RNA
Source: RNAcentral
UACGUAGGUGGCGAGCGUUAUCCGGAAUUAUUGGGCGUAAAGGGUGCGCAGGCGGCCUUUUAAGUUAAUGGUGAAAGCGUGGGGCUCAACCCCAUAUAGCCAUUGAUACUGGGAGGCUAGAGUACUAGAGAGGGAAGUGGAAUUCCAUGUGUAGCGGUAAAAUGCGUAGAUAUAUGGAGGAACACCAGUGGCGAAGGCGGCUUCCUAGCUAGAAACUGACGCUCAGGCACGAAAGCGUGGGGAGCAAAUA